ACGCUCGACACCUACGGUAGGCAGCAGUGGGGAAUAUUGCACAAUGGGGGAAACCCUGAUGCAGCGACGCCGCGUGGAGGAAGAAGGUCUUCGGAUUGUAAACUCCUGUUGUUGGGGAAAAAGAGGAUGGUACCCAACAAGGAAGUGACGGCUAACUACGUGCCAGCAGCAGCGGUAAUCUGAGCGGGCUGGCAAGGC
RNAcentral lists this ribosomal RNA (198 nucleotides) under uncultured bacterium. Its description in RNAcentral is "partial 16S ribosomal RNA". It matches the Rfam family "Bacterial small subunit ribosomal RNA", at positions 326 to 539 of the family's 1533-position model. The record is from RNAcentral.